AAGAAAUUAGUUUAAAUAAAACAUUAACUUGUCAAGUUAAAGAUAUAUAAAUAUAUUUCUUA
RNAcentral lists this transfer RNA (62 nucleotides) under Physopelta slanbuschii. Its description in RNAcentral is "tRNA-Asp". Lineage: Eukaryota; Metazoa; Arthropoda; Insecta; Hemiptera; Largidae. The record is from RNAcentral.